GAAUUGAAAGCUAAUAUAUAAGCAUUGAUCUUGUAAAUCAAAGAUAGGAAUUUCCUCAAUUCU
This 63-nucleotide transfer RNA is filed under the name Drawida ghilarovi. RNAcentral's name for it is "tRNA-Thr". The record is from RNAcentral. Lineage: Eukaryota; Metazoa; Annelida; Clitellata; Moniligastrida; Moniligastridae.